GGCAAUCCCAACACCAGUAUGUAUCAGAGCAUGAUGGAGUAACCAGGGGUAGGGCAGAGACAUGAUCAAUUUCUAUAGACUAUAAUUGUAAAGAGUAUCAUCAGAAGAACAUCAGAUGGAGAUGGUGUCCAGAUAACACAGAAAAAUAUCAAAUAAAGAGACCUCAUGCAAGCCACUAAAUACAGUGACACAAUGAUCUGAAGUCAUUUCUGCUUUGGUCCUUAGAUGAUCAAAUCAUUUCACUUAUGGGCUUCCUAUAUUUAACAAGACUAUAUGUGGGUUGAUCUUGUCUGGAUUUGCCCUGAACCAGCGUCCAGCUGAUGUGUAGGACUCACCCAGGUCUACAGUGUGGAUAUGGACUUCUGCUGGCUUCUCUUCAGCUCUGUGCUCCUUUGCACAAGUAGAUGUUGCCAUCUCAGUGGCUCUCUUCUCACAGGACCAGCUGGACAACACUCAGGUGUAAUUCUGACAGCUAUGUGACAGAGGGGAAGGACAACACUCAGGAGUAAUUCUGACAGCUGUGUGACAGACAGAAGGAGGAGUGUGCACACAAAGAUGAGCACGGUGUUGAGAGUGGCCUCAUCGUAUGUCUUAGGAAUUGAACGCAUUUAAAUAUAUCAGUUCAGAAACCCCAGGAAUGACUGCAUGAAACAAAAUGACCAGUUUCGUUUCAGCCAGCAUAGAAGUGAUAAGAGCAAAGCAUCAGGGGAAUUUUCAGUGGAUGUUUCCCCAGCAUAAGUGCAGGGUCCUGGUGCCUAGUGUUCUAUAGAGAGACUUGUUCUCAGCCAAGACAGCUGAUGAUCCAGGGGUGUGUUUUG
Peromyscus leucopus (white-footed mouse) is the source of this 818-nucleotide long non-coding RNA. RefSeq lists it as uncharacterized. NCBI's taxonomy places the organism in Eukaryota, Metazoa, Chordata, Mammalia, Rodentia, Cricetidae. The record is from RefSeq and is a predicted model, not a curated record. The transcript has 4 exons.